AUUUUCUUAUAUGCAAUGAAAAGUAGUGUGAAAUUUUCACUGUAUCACUGGAAAGGAUUAAACUUUACACAUGCAAAGUAUUUCUUUGGCUGAAAUAAAGUGUUAACCAUGGUCUGAAGAGCAUUCUGUUGAAAAAUCUUAUAUGUGAAUUGGUCUGCAGAUGACACUUCAGCAUUAAAACAAAAGAUAUCAAGUUUUGAUGAUAAAGGAAGGAAGGAAGGAGGAAAAAUGGACCAAAACAGACCAAAACAGACCUUCAAAUGAACUCUAAAAGGUGCAAUAAAAUUGUUUUUCAUCUUAAAGUUGUCUUUUGUAUUCUAUUUAAUUGUUUGAAUGCAUAGAUCAUGAGUUUAUGAUCAGAUAGUAGUCAACACUGCAUUU
This is a long non-coding RNA of Mytilus trossulus (common blue mussel), 381 nucleotides long. RefSeq lists it as uncharacterized. NCBI's taxonomy places the organism in Eukaryota, Metazoa, Mollusca, Bivalvia, Mytilida, Mytilidae. The transcript has 3 exons. The record is from RefSeq and is a predicted model, not a curated record.